This 2621-nucleotide long non-coding RNA is filed under the name Mytilus galloprovincialis (Mediterranean mussel). Lineage: Eukaryota; Metazoa; Mollusca; Bivalvia; Mytilida; Mytilidae. The record is from RNAcentral.
AAAUAAUCCUAAUUUAUUAAAAUAUUUGAAUUAUGCUUAUUGUUUUUUUUCUUCAGUUUUUUUCUCCAAAGGAAAUAAUAAGGUUAGAUAUUUUUUUAUUUUUUUUUUACAAUAUAUUCAUGUUUAAUAUGCAUCUCUAACAUGUUUAAGAAUCCAACUGAUUGACAUUUAGGACACAAGAAAUACCAUUUUAAAUGUUUUGAUCCAUUUGAGUUUGCUUAAGGCAGCUAUGGUGUCUUCUUCAAUCUAUGAUUUUGAAAUAGCAAUUAAAAAUUGGUCUACAUCUUUAUUAAAAUAUGAAAAUUUCCAGAGAGGUAUAUAAUUCAUGUGUAAGACCUUCCAUAUUAAUAUGGAAGAUUAUGUGUUUUAUCAUAUUAUAUAUACCCUCCCCAAUCUACAUUUUUUUAUAGAACUAUGUAUGUUAAAAUUUUUUAUACAUGUACUUAAAUGGAAAUUAAAAAUAUGUGUACUCGGCAUCUUACUGACAAAUUGACAAUAACAAUCAUUAUGUUUAUUGAAGGCCUUCAAUGUAUAGUAUCUGUUAGGAUUGUGUAAUGUGAUUUUUAGAUAUUUUUUUUUUUUAAAUUCUGUUUUUGUAUUGUUGCCUCUUUCAUUACCAUCUCCUUGUUUUUUCUCUUUGUUAAUUUUAUAGUGUUAAAUGUUCUCCAUCUAUGAAAUUUUUAUGUGGUAUUGAUUUUGAAAGAGGUGUUUUUUUAAAGUUUUUUUUUAUAUACAUGCAUCGAUUUUUAAGAACUGCUGAACUGUACUUGUAAUCAACAUGUAAUAUCUCUUUUUUUAGCUCACCUGGCCUGAAGGGCCAAGUGAGCUUUUCUCAUCACUUGGCGUCCGUCCUCUGUCAUUCGUCGUCGUCGUUUACUUUAGAGAGAACUUUCUAGAGAACCACUCAAUGGAAUGAAACCAAACAUGGCAUGAAUGCUCCUUAUGAGGUGCUGACCAAGUGUUGUUACUUUGUAGCCGAUCCAUCAUCCAAGAUGGCCGCCAGCAGGGGACUUAGUUUAACAUAGGACCCUACGGGAAAUGCAUACAAAUGACUUCUUCUAGAGAACCACUGAAUGGAAUGAAACCAAACAUGGCAUGAAUUUUCCUUAUGAGGUGCUGACCAAGUGUUGUUACUUUGUAGCGGAUCCAUCAUCCAAGAUGGCCGCCAGCGGGGGACUUAGUUUAACAUAAGACCCUAUGGGAAAUGCAUACAAAUGACUUCUUCUAGAGAACCACUGAAGGGAAUGAAACCAAACAUGGCAUAAAUGUUCCUUAUGAGGUGCUGACCAAGUGUUGUUACUUUGUAGCUGAUCCAUGAUCCAAGAUGGCCUCCAGCGGGGGGACUUAGUUUAACAUAGGACCCUAUGGAAAAUGUAUACAAAUGACAUCUUUUAGAGAACCACUGAAUGGAAUGAAACCAAACAUAGCAUGAAUGUUCCUUAUGAGAUGCUGAGCAAGUGUUGUUACUUUGUCUCCGAUCCAUCAUCCAAGAUAGCUGCCAGCAGGGGGCUUAGUUUAACAUAGGACCCUAUGGGAAAUGCAUACAAAAGUCUUCUUCUAUAGAACCACGGAAUUGAAUGAAAUCAAACAUAGCAUGAAUAGUCCUUUCUUUAUGAGGUGCUGGCCAAGUGUUGUUACUUUGUAGCCAAAUUUUAUCUGUUUUUAUAUGAUUUCAAAAACCCAAGUAGAGUCGGGUGAGCGAUACAGGCUCUUGAGAGCCUCUAGUUUAUAUGUAUCUUCCGUAUUCCCUUUGAUGGACCUAAAUAAAACAGAGAAGUUAUUCAAACACACAAAAUAUUUAUAACAUAGGACUGAAUUUACAUGAAUGGCAUAAAGGUAGUAUAGUGCAUCCACAUAAGUAUCCAGCACUUUCAUGUUUCACUGUUUAUUUGGAAAAUAUUACUAUAUCUGUAUUUUGCAAAACCUUUCAGAUUUGUUGGCCUUCAAUGCUUGUCAACCUUCUUUGUUAUUUUGGCUUUUGUUUGAAUUAAGUGUCACUGAUGAGUCUUUUGAAGAUGAAACAUGAGUGUGGCAAACAAAUUUUUAUAUUGUUUUCUAUGAUGAUUUUAUUUCAUAUACAACUCCAUUUGUAAAAAAUUUUUUGUAAGAUUUAAAAUCAGUUGGUCAUCUGAAUAAAUUAAAACCAAUUAAUUACAAAAAAAAUAUAUAAAUAAAUAAAUGAACACCUUGCGUAAAACGUCUUUUCACUGUAAAUUGAAAUAAAAUUUUCAAGUGAACAAACCUUGUUAUGUGGUAUGUCUCUUUGUGUUUUAUAUAAGAAUGUAUGAUGAACUAUUGAUGUCUAUGUGUGUGUAAUAACAUGUAUUUUAUUGAUAAGAAUCUCAUUGAAUAAGAUCUUGUUAGGUUUUUUUUCAUUUGUUUUUUUGUAUUUUUAAAUAUUUUUUUUUUUUUUUUUACAUUAACACCGACUUAAUGUUAUAAGCAUUUCAUAAUGUAGUUAUUAAUUUUACAUUCAAUUUAUAUUGUGCAAUAAACUCCUUAUUAAAUCUUGUAGUUUGCUGUUUCAUAAUUGCCUGCUUGUUGUAGUACCAUAAGGUCAUGAACAAAAUUAUGUUAUAUUCAUGAAGUACCAGAUGAGCCAUUCUUAAACUGAAAAUUUU